This 433-nucleotide ribosomal RNA is filed under the name uncultured bacterium. Its description in RNAcentral is "partial 16S ribosomal RNA". It matches the Rfam family "Bacterial small subunit ribosomal RNA", at positions 29 to 507 of the family's 1533-position model. The record is from RNAcentral.
AACGAACGCUGGCGGCAUGCCUAACACAUGCAAGUCGAACGAGACCUUCGGGUCUAGUGGCGCACGGGUGCGUAACGCGUGGGAACCUGCCCUUAGGUUCGGAAUAACUCCCCGAAAGGGGUGCUAAUACCGGAUAAUGUCUUCGGACCAAAGAUUUAUCGCCUUUGGAUGGGCCCGCGUUGGAUUAGCUAUUUGGUAGGGUAAAAGCCUACCAAGGCGACCAUCCAUAGCUGGUCUGAGAGGAUGAUCAGCCACACUGGGACUGAGACACGGCCCAGACUCCUACGGGAGGCAGCAGUGGGUAAUAGUGGACAAUGGGCGAAAGCAUGAUCCAGCAAUGCCGGGUGAGUGAUGAAGGCCUUAGGGUUGUAAAGCUCUUUUAACCGGGAUGAUAAUGACAGUACCGGGAGAAUAAGCGCCGGCUAACUCCGUG